Molecule: transfer RNA, 72 nt
Filed under: Chloropicon laureae
Lineage: Eukaryota; Viridiplantae; Chlorophyta; Chloropicophyceae; Chloropicales; Chloropicaceae
Also listed under: 3 other names
Description: tRNA-Gln
Rfam family: tRNA
About the family: Transfer RNA (tRNA) molecules are approximately 80 nucleotides in length. Their secondary structure includes four short double-helical elements and three loops (D, anti-codon, and T loops). Further hydrogen bonds mediate the characteristic L-shaped molecular structure. tRNAs have two regions of fundamental functional importance: the anti-codon, which is responsible for specific mRNA codon recognition, and the 3' end, to which the tRNAs corresponding amino acid is attached (by aminoacyl-tRNA synthetases). tRNAs cope with the degeneracy of the genetic code in two manners: having more than one tRNA (with a specific anti-codon) for a particular amino acid; and 'wobble' base-pairing, i.e. permitting non-standard base-pairing at the 3rd anti-codon position.
Source: RNAcentral
UGGAGUAUAGCCAAGCGGUAAGGCGUCGGUUUUUGGUAUCGAGAUUCAAAGGUUCGAAUCCUUUUACUCCAG